This 453-nucleotide long non-coding RNA is filed under the name Eucalyptus grandis. RNAcentral describes it as "long non-coding RNA (EGRA_LNC004756)". The record is from RNAcentral. Lineage: Eukaryota; Viridiplantae; Streptophyta; Magnoliopsida; Myrtales; Myrtaceae.
CCAAACCUUUUCCUUUUCUUCUCUCUCUCUCUUCUCUUUCCCCCUCUCUUGGCCGAACCCCCCCCCCCCUUCUUCUUCUUCUUCUUCUUCUUUCUUCCUUCCUCUCUUUUUUAGGGUUCCUUUUUGGCCGAGGGAGAAAGGGACCAAGCAAGGGAGAGCGAUAGAGAGAGGGAAAGCAAAGGGGGGUUCUGGUUUUUCCGUAGAUUUUGGGCUGAGAGAGAGAUGAGCUCGAGGGAGAGAGACCGAGAAGGAGAGUUCUGUGCGACUGAGGGAGAGCAGGGGAGGUUCAGCCGUGCAUGGGCUCGGUUAGAGAGUGAGACCGAGAGAGAGACCAAGGGAGUGAGAGAGAGAGUGAGUAGUCCGCUUCGUCUGUGUGAGAAAGAAGUAAGAGACUCGCGUCGCCGGAGGCCAGCCCACCAACCACCGCUCGCCACAACACCGCGCUAGCCCAGG